GGGAGGGGGGAGGAAGAGGGGAAAGAGUGUGAGCAGACUUUCUCACUUGUAGAAAAAGCCUCUUCAUAUGGAUUUCUCUGCGUCAUGGUUGUUCUCUGGCUGAAAGUCUGACAGCCAAGCACACGUAGUUCUUGGUUUUCACAUCUUACUCUAUCACCGAAAAUAAAGGCAGCUUUGGCUGGUGCUGGGAAGCCUGUUCCCGUAGAGCAGAGGACAGACAGUUCCCGGAGACCCUCUUAGCUUGAUGACAGGGUCUCUCGGAGCCUAGGCUGGCUUCUAGCUUGCUAUGCAGCUGAGAAUGUCCUUGAAUACUGAUCUUCCUGCCUUCAUCUUCCAACUCCUGUGAUCUUAAGCCUGGGCUAUAAACCAAGCUUCAUGGCCGCCACUCUGAAAACGCCACACGAUGCACAAGUGUGACAGAUCAGCCAGUAAAGGAACCUGCUGCCAAGCUGACCCAUGUGACUUCCAUCCCUGAGACCCACAUUGUGGAAGGAGAAAACAACUUUCACAAGUUGUCCUCUGACCACCGCAUACACACCAUGGCGUGUGCACAGACCAGGAUAAAUACAGACAGACUUAGGUCCCUGCCACCCCUUGGGAGAUCGUUCAGGACACCCCGUUUGAAGCCCUAAAUUCUGACAUGUUGGAUUGGUUACAAGACCGCCUCUUCCGAGAGGCAGAAGUGAGUUUCACUCCCACCCACGCUCAGGAUGUUAAGACAUUUGCAGAAUGAUUUGUUCUGGACCAGGGGAGAACACUCAUGUGAAAGCAUGCCAUGUCUCUUCCUCCAGUGGUCCCUCCUGCCUCCUGUCAGGCCACACCUGUGUCUCCUCACUCACAAUCAGGUGCCCCUCAGUGGCCUGAAUACCAGAGUGGCUUCUGCAAGAAAAAUGAGACAGAGAAGCAGACAGAGGUCAACAGGCUGAGAUGACUUUGUGGGAGCAGCAAGGGAUCCCUACUCCCUCCCACCCGCAUGAAAGCUGAGUAUAUUCAGAGGGCUGGGGGAAUAUGUGCGUAUACAUGGGGGAUAUGUGCAUGCAUAUACAUGGGUAGCUACCAGAAGUUACAGCUCUGUGUAGGUGUGUGUGUGUGUGUGUGUGUGUGGAGGGGGUUGACUGGGAGCAAGGUAGUUUGUUGUUUGUUUGAUUGCUUGUUUUAGAUAAUUGGACAUAUUAUAUCUGUAGGUGGAAUACAGUGGUCAGGCUAAACCAUUCUUUAUGGCUAUGGGCUAUGCCCAGUACAACCUGACUCACUUCAUCAUGACUUGAGUCUAUUACCCAACGGCUUCUACCACCUUCCAAUGGAAACUAUCCAACAGCUUAUCGCCCAGUGGUUAUUGUUGUGUUUAUAAAAAGAUAAAGAGAGGGGAGAGAUGUUCUAUGGAGGUGUGGUCAGGCAUGGGGGAAGGGAGUACCUUGGUGGGUCCAUGCUGAGGCAUCCCUUCCCCAUGAGGGACCAGCCACAUGACAACGGUAUAGUAUAGAAUAGAGUUUAUUCAGGGCAUGGGAGGGGAGUUAAGAGGGUAGUAGAGGCAGAAAGGCAGAGAGAGA
Molecule: long non-coding RNA, 1550 nt
Organism: Mus musculus (house mouse)
Lineage: Eukaryota; Metazoa; Chordata; Mammalia; Rodentia; Muridae
Product: predicted gene, 53265
Exons: 5
Source: RefSeq, a predicted model, not a curated record